CUGAAUACCGGAGGGGGGUGUAGGACAUCCCAUCUCUCUGGCUACAAUGCUUAUUUGUAUGGCUUCCAAGGGGUGUUGAUGAUGAACCUCUGUUAGGAAUACAAUCCUGUCAGCCACACAGGAUUACUCAUGUGUCAAUGACUAUCUGGGAGGACGUAAAGAGGAGUAUCCUCCCACGUUGUGAAGGGUCAAAACUGAACCUGGAAUUUCACAGAAGAGCUGAGAAGAAAGUUAUCCAGACUAUGAUUUCCUAA
This 254-nucleotide long non-coding RNA is filed under the name Rattus norvegicus (Norway rat). RNAcentral describes it as "long non-coding RNA NONRATT032353". The record is from RNAcentral. Lineage: Eukaryota; Metazoa; Chordata; Mammalia; Rodentia; Muridae.